RNAcentral lists this long non-coding RNA (842 nucleotides) under Heterocephalus glaber (naked mole-rat). RNAcentral describes it as "lncRNA (ENSHGLG00100048079.1)". Lineage: Eukaryota; Metazoa; Chordata; Mammalia; Rodentia; Bathyergidae. The record is from RNAcentral.
AAGAUUUCUGCAGGGCUGCAGCAGCCUCUGGAACAGAGGCAUCUUCUAACGAAGUGACCUGGAGAGGAGAGGGGACCUGGGCCUGACUGCAUCCCCAGGGUGCUCUGGCCCCAGGGAAGAAAGCUGUCAUCCCUUGCUGCACUUUGGGGGGGGGGACACGGGACCCUCCCCCUGCCCAGGGGCAAAAGACAGCUGUAUCACAAUGAACGAAGAGGCCCUGAGGAAGAAGUCUGGUGAAUAUUUCUCAGAAUGCGUUCUAAAGUUGGUUAAAAAGCUGGCAACAAGAAUAGAAGAACUGCAAACAAUGCAGCCUGCCUUUGCCAAGACACAAAUAGGAAGAAGCAUUUGAAAGGACCAUGUACGGUAUCAAAUUAUCUGCAAAGAUGAAGAAAGUAAUGACUUACAUUCUCCGUCCUCUGACUGGGUGAUUCAUCAAAGUGGAAGACGAAGCAGUUGGAGAUGAAAGUCACUCCCAAAAGAAGGCAAAAAGGAUGAGCUUGGAAAGAGCCAAUUUAAUUAGACAAGUUCACAUGGGACCAGAGUAUCUGUGACUGGGGGGGGGCACCUAAGUGUUUUGUUCUUCUUUAUGUCCUGCACAGCCUUUGACAAAGUUUAGGCCUGACUCACUACGUUCAUCUGGAUCAUGGGUAGCUUGAGACGCACCCCCUGCACACAGGGUAACCUGUGUACAUACACAGACAAUAGCGGUUGUGUUUUGCACACUGCGUUAGACUGAAGGGGAGAAAUAGGUGUCCCUGAUCUGCCUGGCAUCAAAAGGUUCCUCUUGGUAGUCUCCGGCUAUUUUUGUAAUGGUAUAUCGAAAUAGAACUCACACACCACAC